This 425-nucleotide ribosomal RNA is filed under the name uncultured bacterium. RNAcentral's name for it is "partial 16S ribosomal RNA". It matches the Rfam family "Bacterial small subunit ribosomal RNA", at positions 354 to 796 of the family's 1533-position model. The record is from RNAcentral.
GUGGGGAAUUUUGGACAAUGGGCGAAAGCCUGACGCAGCCAUGCCGCGUGAAUGAUGAAGGUCUUAGGAUUGUAAAAUUCUUUCACCGGGGACGAUAAUGACGGUACCCGGAGAAGAAGCCCCGGCUAACUUCGAGCCAGCAGCCGCGGUAAUACGAAGGGGGCUAGCGUUGCUCGGAAUUACUGGGCGUAAAGGGCGCGUAGGCGGACAGUUUAGUCAGAGGUGAAAGCCCAGGGCUCAACCUUGGAAUUGCCUUUGAUACUGGCUGUCUUGAGUACGGGAGAGGUGAGUGGAACUCCGAGUGUAGAGGUGAAAUUCGUAGAUAUUCGGAAGAACACCAGUGGCGAAGGCGACUCACUGGCCCGUUACUGACGCUGAGGCGCGAAAGCGUGGGGAGCAAACAGGAUUAGAUACCCGAGUAGUCC